UACGGAGGGUGCGAGCGUUGUCCGGAAUCACUGGGCGUAAAGCGCACGUAGGCGGUCCGCUAAGUCAUGUGUGAAAUCCCCCGGCUCAACCGGGGAAUUGCGCCUGAUACUGGCGGGCUCGAGGUCGAUAGGGGUGAGCGGAACUCCAGGUGGAGCGGUGAAAUGCGUAGAUAUCUGGAGGAACACCGGUGGCGAAAGCGGCUCACUGGAUCGAAUCUGACGCUGAGGUGCGAAAGCUAGGGUAGCAAACGGG
RNAcentral lists this ribosomal RNA (253 nucleotides) under uncultured bacterium. RNAcentral's name for it is "partial 16S ribosomal RNA". It matches the Rfam family "Bacterial small subunit ribosomal RNA", at positions 524 to 776 of the family's 1533-position model. The record is from RNAcentral.